RNAcentral lists this ribosomal RNA (356 nucleotides) under Acanthamoeba genotype T3. RNAcentral's name for it is "SSU rRNA". The stretch from base 1 to 308 matches the Rfam family "Eukaryotic small subunit ribosomal RNA", at positions 810 to 1116 of the family's 1831-position model. Lineage: Eukaryota; Discosea; Longamoebia; Acanthamoebidae. The record is from RNAcentral.
UGGGAUAAUGGAAUAGGACCCUGUCCUCCUAUUUUCAGUUGGUUUGCCGCGAGGACCAGGGUAAUGAUUAAUAGGGAUAGUUGGGGGCAUUAAUAUUUAAUUGUCAGAGGUGAAAUUCUUGGAUUUAUGAAAGAUUAACUUCUGCGAAAGCAUCUGCCAAGGAUGUUUUCAUUAAUCAAGAACGAAAGUUAGGGGAUCGAAGACGAUCAGAUACCGUCGUAGUCUUAACCAUAAACGAUGCCGACCAGCGAUUAGGAGACGUUGAAUACAAAACACCACCAUGCGCAUUGCGGUCGUCUUUGGUGUCGCUCACAAGGCGGCACCGGGGCGGCUUAGCUCGCAUGGCACCGGUGAAU